RNAcentral lists this unclassified non-coding RNA (267 nucleotides) under plant metagenome. Its description in RNAcentral is "partial contains small subunit ribosomal RNA, internal transcribed spacer 1, and 5.8S ribosomal RNA". The record is from RNAcentral.
UUUCCGUAGGUGAACCUGCGGAAGGAUCAUUAUCGUACAAAAUGUCAGGGGCAUGCGAGGGCGGUCCCUGACCCCAAAGUCUUGCACGCCCGAGUGUGUCCUCUUGCAUAGUAAUCCAUCUCGCCCUUUGUGCAUCACCGCGUGGGCACCCCACGGGAUCAUCUCGCAGGGGGGCUCGCGUUUUCACACAAACACCCCUUUUAAAAGAGUAGAAUGACCACAUUUAUACAAUCAAUACAACUUUCAACAACGGAUCUCUUGGCUCUC